RNAcentral lists this ribosomal RNA (495 nucleotides) under uncultured bacterium. RNAcentral's name for it is "partial 16S ribosomal RNA". It matches the Rfam family "Bacterial small subunit ribosomal RNA", at positions 28 to 507 of the family's 1533-position model. The record is from RNAcentral.
GACGAACGCUGGCGGCGUGCCUAAUACAUGCAAGUAGAACGCUGAAGGAGGAGCUUGCUUCUCUGGAUGAGUUGCGAACGGGUGAGUAACGCGUAGGUAACCUGCCUGGUAGCGGGGGAUAACUAUUGGAAACGAUAGCUAAUACCGCAUAAUAGUAGAUGUUGCAUGACAUUUGCUUAAAAGGUGCAAUUGCAUCACUACCAGAUGGACCUGCGAUGUAUUAGCUAGUUGGUGGGGUAACGGCUCACCAAGGCGACGAUACAUAGCCGACCUGAGAGGGUGAUCGGCCACACUGGGACUGAGACACGGCCCAGACUCCUACGGGAGGCAGCAGUAGGGAAUCUUCGGCAAUGGACGGAAGUCUGACCGAGCAACGCCGCGUGAGUGAAGAAGGUUUUCGGAUCGUAAAGCUCUGUUGUAAGAGAAGAACGAGUGUGAGAGUGGAAAGUUCACACUGUGACGGUAUCUUACCAGAAAGGGACGGCUAACUACGUG